RNAcentral lists this ribosomal RNA (442 nucleotides) under uncultured bacterium. RNAcentral's name for it is "partial 16S ribosomal RNA". It matches the Rfam family "Bacterial small subunit ribosomal RNA", at positions 338 to 795 of the family's 1533-position model. The record is from RNAcentral.
CCUACGGGUGGCAGCAGUGGGGAAUAUUGGGCAAUGGGCGCAAGCCUGACCCAGCCACGCCGCGUGAAGGAAGAAGGCUUUCGGGUUGUAAAAUUCUUUUAAGAAGGAAGAGAAGUAGGCGGUACCUGUUGAAUAAGCCACGGCUAACUACGUGCCAGCAGCCGCGGUAAUGCGUAGGUCGCAAGCGUUGUCCGGAUUGACUGGGUGUAACGGGCGUGUAGGCGGGAUGGCAAGUCAGGUGUGAAAGCCCGCGGCUCAACCGCAGAACUGCAUUUGAAACUGUUUUUCUUGAGUACAGGUGAGGUCAGCGGAAUUCCUUGUGUAGCGGUGAAAUGCUUAGAUAUAAGGAAGAACACCAGUUGCGAAGGCGGAUGACUGGACGGCAACUGACGGUGAUGCGCGAAAGCGUGGGGAGCAAACAGGAUUAGAUACCCCGGUAGUC